Molecule: non-coding RNA, 3883 nt
Organism: Anas platyrhynchos (mallard)
Lineage: Eukaryota; Metazoa; Chordata; Aves; Anseriformes; Anatidae
Source: RefSeq, a predicted model, not a curated record
CUGGGGCUUUUUCCUUGUGCAGCAGAAGUCUGCGUAUCACAGCUCUGCUCUUGUUGCUCUACUGCUUCAGGCUGCUACCAGCACCAAAGCUGCUCGCUGCACCCAAGGCCACAACCAUGCUCCCAAGCCAUUGCUGCAAGAUGCAGUUUUCCAAAGUGGUUGUGCUUGGAUUGCUACAUUUACAUUGCUUUGACUCCAAUCAGCUCAGCUGGAUACUGCAACGUGUGAACAUGCAACAGGCAACCAUGAAGCUCCUGUAACUUGGCUAAAUCCUGUUUUCUACAUAUGCAAGGGUUGUCUUGACAAACAGCUCUCAAGGCUUAAGAUGCCUCAAGGCUGUCUCUUCUAACAGAGACUAGGGGAAGUGGAGUGAGGGCCACAGAAAACUUUGUGAAGCAGCUACAGAAGAGGGCAGUGUUUGCAGUGCCUGGUGGCUCCAGAGGGAGUUUAACACAAAGUUAGGGCCUGAGCUUCCAAUGCGCAUCUCCACCUCGGUGAUGUUUACCUGAACAAUACAGUUCUGAGAAGACGCCCUCCUGUUUCCUGAGGAGCUGUCAGCAGCUGUAUCACUUUCCAACAGGUAACCUAAUUUGAGUAGUUGUCUUGCUCAGUAUCUGAAUACCCUCUUUCUCCUCCAGCUAGAAGCAAAAUUCUCUGACAAGGAUCAACAGUCUAGAUCCAACACUGUUUAUUGAACUUCUGCUAGUGCAGCAAUCCCUUCAAUUUCUUAGCUGUCAUGCAGACUCUCAGAAGGCAAGGAAAGGUACAUUUCCCUUUUCUUACCAGAUGUCACAGUGGUACCUCACCACUGGGGGUGGUACCCCAUUUUGGUGUCUGGGUGACACAGGCCACAGUGUGAGAUACUCUGUCCUCCACUGGCUCACACUUCUCCUCCUUGGAUUCUUGUAAGAAAGAGCAGAAAAAACAAGUCUUGAGAUUUCCUUCCUCUAGGGGCAUCAGGCUGGCCAUAGCUACUGCAAGCACCCUUGGACAGGUCUGCUCUACCAUGAAGUCUUAACCCACCUACAGCUCAGGAGGCUCAGACUGGGUCUGGUAGAAAUAACUAUCCCCAUCCUGAACUUUUAAGCAGUCCUCUGCUUGGUCCCACAUGCCAGCAAAAAGCAAUAUUUGAGCUAAAUUUUAAUUCAAGUUCUCUUCAACCAUUUGUUUUUUCAAAGCUGUGAGGCAUCAAGCUUUCAUUGUCUCCAGCCAAGAGAGAAUGUGAAAUGGCCCCAACAGGUGCUGGGGAGAAGCAUUUCAGAAUCAGCUCAUAACUCAACAGACACAAAGUAAAUGUAUUCAAUAAAUAUUUUAUUUUGACACAUAGUACACAUUCGUACUUUAAGCAAAUACUAUAGCCAAAGGGAUGCUUACAAAGAGAUUGACACAAAAGAAAUAGCAAAGCAUAAAAUUAUCAUUUUCCUGAACAGAGAGAUUUUUGUACUUGGAAGAAUUUUUAUAUUCUUUAUUGAAUACCAUUCAUGUGCUCUGUACUGCUGAGAAUCCAUAGCCAGCCUUGGGAUAAAUAUUUUCAGAGCCAUUUAAUGAUUUGGAGACUAAGGCCCAUUGACAGUCAGUAGUUAUUAGGUGCUUUUGAUGGUGUUACCUGUCUUCUACAGUCCACGGGGUUCACUAUCUAAACCCUUCAGGUCAUUAAGAGACUUUCCAUUUAGUUCAACGGCUCUACGCCAGUCUUGCAAGGUGCUGUGACCUCUCUAUGAGGAGGUGGGAACCUUUCUGGAACAAGAGAUUGGUUUGGACUAGGAGAGAGAGUUUAAUUAAGGUAAUACAAGGUAUUUUUAAGUAGGCAACGCUCACUGCUAUGAUGCAAACAGCAGUUGUGCUAGAAUAGUGUUUAACAUGUAUUUUGACCUUUCAAGUGAACGACGAAGAAAACCAGUGAAACCAACACCACCAAUUUGAUUCAAACUGCUGCAGUCUUCACUCACACCUUAGUUAGAGAAAACUCCAGUAACCUUUGGCAAACCUGAAGCAUUCAGUCAAGAUUAGCAAGGCAAAAAAAAAAAAAAAAAAAUGACUCACCUUGUUCUCUUCUGUCUACUCAAAUUUGAAAGAAUCUGGGCUGCUUGUUGUUAUGAAACCCAAUCUUGUGUGGAUUCCAAGCUGAUGAGCACGAGCGCCUGAAAAUAUCAGAAAACUGUGGUUUAGCAAGAGAAAUAGAGAGUGAGUGGAGGAGCCAUCCUGUUGAUUUUGGAAGGAGUGGCAAAAGUUCCACUGACUUCAGCUGGGUACGAGCCAGGCCCACCGGGCAUAAAAUUCCACUUGGCAUCUCUUCCAUCUUCCACACACAAUACUGACAGGGGUCCUACAGACAAAAUCUAAUUGAUUGUGGCACUCAGACAUCACCCCAAAAUUGUUCCUUUGUGGCAGAGUUUAUCCCCGUGUAAAGAUUCAGCAUGAAUAGGACUAUGAGAGACUUGGAUGCUGCAUAAACCUUGUUUUGUUCCUCCGCAUAAUGGAAUUCCACCCUUGGAGAGUAAGCAAGGAAGUCUGCUUCUAAAUGGUUCGUUUUCUAUUACAACACAUGAUGGAUGCGUGUUUUCAAAGUAUUUUAAAGGCAUGUGUGCAUUAUACUAAAGAAAGGUGUUAGUUUGAUGGUGCUGGAAAAUGAAACCUUGGAUUUAGCCAGAGAUAAGAAACAGCCCUUUAGUAUUUUCAUAAAAUCUUUGGUCGAAACAUAGAUGCAGCAGGAUCCUAUGGCUUCAUCAGCCCCCUGCACCACAAUUUUUCCUAACAGCCUUUCACAGAGUUUAAUACAGAAGAGGAAGAUCAACUGGAUGUGAAUAUCGAGCUCCAUGUGCUGAGAAAGGGUAAGUGCUGAGACAGUGCUAUCCUUGUCGUAUUAUCGCAGCAUCCACAGACUGAGAAAAUGAGGGCUUCUAGAAGGUAAUUCACCUGAGGAAUUUGACCUUUAUCUUGUUAUUAUGCUAAAAUAUGGCUUCACCAUACAUAAAGUGGACUAGGACAAUUGGCAUACCUAUUGAUAAUGAGACAUCAUGAUGUUGAAACACUUGAAUGUUGUAGAUUAUUAUUCUCCUCUUCGUUUCACACAUAUACACACCUGUUCAGAAUGAAAAUUGGCUAGCUAUACAUUUACUAAAUUUCUCCAAUAACACAGAAGUUUUGUAGAAUAAAGCAACGAGUUCCAGUGGCAACAUAUGUGCUCAGCUCCUGCUAUGAGAUCGAAAGCAGACAAUCCCUACAGACCCCAGCGUGGGGAUGACAGCCUGACAAAAUCACACCCCGUACUUACUUUCGUGUCACUGUAAAAGCUCUGAGUAAAGCUGGAGAAUAAAAGAGAUGAAACCAUUUUAAGUAAGCAUUGGUAUGCUAACAAAAGCAGCACUGAGGUUUCACCAGCUGGGUCUUGUCUUGGGAAGAUGCUGAAUGGUCUUAACAGGGAAGGUAGCAACCACACAAUUUUCUUGGUGUCACAGAUGAGCCAAAAUGCAACAAUACCCUUGGAGAAAGUACAUUAUUAUUCACAGUAAUGGGAAAAUGCCCCAAAGUGUCUGGGUCGUUUCAUUAAACCACUGCAGUCAAUUACAUAAAAACUACUUUGGGGGAAGGAUUCUAUACCUAUUACUGGACUUAAACCGUAAAGGAGUGUGGAUGUGAAUGAAUUAUUUUUUCCUUUGUAUAAAAGCGCUACUGAGGUUGUGUUCAGCAUAAGGAGAAAUUUUGAAACAAGAUAAAUAAUAAAAUAAUCCAACGGGAAAAACAAUAGGAGCAACAACCAUCAGAGAGUGAGCAGAGUGAAAAACCAAUGCAGAGAAAAGAUAAAAAGAGAAGCAAAGGUGGUGAAGAAAAAAAUAUCCAAAGUGCCCCACGUUCCUAUCUGAAUGUGCCUUGGAGGAUAAGG